Long non-coding RNA from Cyprinus carpio carpio, 1096 nucleotides. The record is from Ensembl. NCBI's taxonomy places the organism in Eukaryota, Metazoa, Chordata, Actinopteri, Cypriniformes, Cyprinidae.
AUUUUAGCCAGGCCCUGAAUGCUGCCCAAGAUCAGUUAAUCUCCACAAUGUUUUGACACCAAGACUAAUUUCAAAGUUCCUUCUAGGAACACAGUUAAUUUGUUUUUUGGCAUAACAGCGUCUUGUUUCUUUGGCGAUAACCGAUAUCAGCCGCCGCUCUCUAAUUAGUCUCGGUGUGUCCAGUGGUUUAGAGUGACAUCAGGAACGCUAACUGAAGAGAUCGAGCAAGCCAGAGAAUAACCCAGGCUUUUCAGGCAUCUGGAGGAGCUUCCAUCUCCACGAUUAUCUUCACUUUCUUAUUAACGCUGCUUGAAGAGCUGUGAUCUAAUGACUAAUGACUGCAGUGGCGCUGCCGCAUUUCCAUUCUGGCUUUUGCAGAGACAGCUUGCCGACAGCCCGGUCGCUAAUGCGUCUGUGGGCGUAAUGAAAACUUUGUGCAUCAACAAUCAACUAUUACGAAGGAGAUUCUCCAGCCAUGAGGUUUGGAAAUGGCUCUUGGGCGGGACGGAGAGGACAGCAGUCGGAUAGCAGCUCUUUAACAAGCACAUUACAGUCUGCUGCUUGUGAAGGUGACUUCCAUUUCUGAGAAAAUGAUUUUUGAAUGUACUGUAGAUUGUCACGGCACCUCACGUCUGAGAGCAUGGGACGACACAAAUGUCAGAUUUGUUUUGAAAGAGCGAGAAUGAAAUACUGACCUGACAAUUCAAUCUAACAAGCCAGGAUAUUUCCUAAAAUCCUAGUUAUAUGUGUUUGUGUCCCUGAAGCGCUAUCACACGAGAACACCUGCUACCUGCAGAAGAGUCCCUUCCUUUAAGAGCUUCAACAGCAUGUUAAUGGUGUGUCUUGUUCAUUGGUGUUACAGCCUCAAGAAAAGCAUUUGGUGGUUACUAAGGUAAGCAUCACUAUUUCUACCACUCAAAGCAAUAACUUGUCCAGCAUCAUUUGUGCUAAACACAUGAAUAACACCUCAAACGUGUAAAUUGUGGAGAAAUGGUGUGGUAUUGUCCUUCCAAGUGUCUUGCAAUUUUGCCUGACAGUCAAUAAAAUGGGCAAAAAGUUCUUACAUUUUAGAAAUAACAUCAGCCAUAGAGACCAG